Molecule: long non-coding RNA, 1150 nt
Filed under: Phasianus colchicus (ring-necked pheasant)
Lineage: Eukaryota; Metazoa; Chordata; Aves; Galliformes; Phasianidae
Description: lncRNA (ENSPCLG00000013429.1)
Source: RNAcentral
AUGUAUCCCUGUGGUCCCCAUGUAUCCCUAUGGUUCCCCAUGUAUCCCUAUGGGUCCCCAUGUAUUCCUAUGAGUCCCCCAUGUAUCCCUAUGAGCCCCAUGUAUUNNNNNNNNNNNNNNNNNNNNNNNNNNNGGUCCCCAUGUAUCCCUAUGGUCCCCCAUGUAUCCCUAUGGUCCCCAUGUAUCCCUAUGGUCCCCCAUGUAUCCCUAUGGUUCUCCCCGUGUGUCCCCAUGGGUUCCCCAUGUAUCCCUAUGGGUCCCCCAUGUAUCCCUACGGUUCCCCAUGUAUCCCCAUGGGUUCCCCAUGUAUCCCUAUGGUUCACCACGUCCAGUCUUUCCCUGAACGCCCCCCGUGUCGGUGACUGCACCGCCUCCCUGUGCAGCCCAUCCCCGUGCCUGGCCGCCUUUCUGGAAAGCAGUACUUGCUUGUGUCCGUGUUGAGGGACGUUAAAGGGCGCUGCCCCUUUAAGAGGCGUGGUGAAAAGAACUGAGGGGGCGUGGCCCGCUUAAAGAGGCGGGGCCAAAGGGAUGAGAGACCAAAAGGGGGCGUGGCCAGAACAGAACAUGUGCCAGAAGGGGGCGUGGCCAAUGGGGUUGGGGGUGGUGAUGCAAAGGGGGCGUGGUCGAAAAGAAUGAAGACCAAAGCGGGGUGUGGACAAACAGGGGGCGUAGCCAAUAGGAUUGCGUGACCAAAAGGGGGGCGUGGCCAGAACAGAACGUGGCCAAAAGGGGGCUUGGAGCUAAAGGGGGCGUGGCCAAUAGUGGGCAUGGCCAAUGGGGUUGAGGUGGUGACGCAAAGGGGGCGUGGACAAAACGGAUGCGAGGCCAAGUGGGGGCGUGGCCAAAAUCACAUUGGCCAAUGGGGUGUGUGGUCAAAGGGGGCGUGGUCAAAAAGAAUGAAGCCGAAAGCGGGGUGUGGACAAACGGGGGGCGUAGCCAAUAGGGAUGCGAGGCCGAUAAGGGGGCGUGGCCAAAACAAACAUGGCCAAAGGGGCUCUAACCUAAAGGGGGCGUGGCCAACAGUGGGCUUGGCCAAUGGGGUUGGGGCGGUGCCGCAAAGGGGGCGUGGUCAAAAGGGAUGAAGCUGAAAGGGGGUGUGGACAGAGCGGGACGUAGCCAAUAGGGUUGCAUGACCAAAUGGGGGGCGUGG